GACGAACGCUGGCGGCAUGCCUAACACAUGCAAGUCGAACGAGACCUUCGGGUCUAGUGGCGCACGGGGGCGUAACGCGUGGGAACCUGCCCUUAGGUUCGGAAUAACUCCCCGAAAGGGGUGCUAAUACCGGAUAAUGUCUUCGGACCAAAGAUUUAUCGCCUUUGGAUGGGCCCGCGUUGGAUUAGCUAGUUGGUAGGGUACAAGCCUACCAAGGCGACGAUCCAUAGCUGGUCUGAGAGGAUGAUCAGCCACACUGGGACUGAGACACGGCCCAGACUCCUACGGGAGGCAGCAGUGGGGAAUAUUGGACAAUGGGCGAAAGCCUGAUCCAGCAAUGCCGCGUGAGUGAUGAAGGCCUUAGGGUUGUAAAGCUCUUUUACCCGGGAUGAUAAUGACAGUACCGGGAGAAUAAGCUCCGGCUAACUCCGUG
This 433-nucleotide ribosomal RNA is filed under the name uncultured bacterium. Its description in RNAcentral is "partial 16S ribosomal RNA". It matches the Rfam family "Bacterial small subunit ribosomal RNA", at positions 28 to 507 of the family's 1533-position model. The record is from RNAcentral.